RNAcentral lists this transfer RNA (71 nucleotides) under Sinomicrurus macclellandi (MacClellands coral snake). Its description in RNAcentral is "tRNA-Ile". Lineage: Eukaryota; Metazoa; Chordata; Lepidosauria; Squamata; Elapidae. The record is from RNAcentral.
GGAGGUGUGCCUGAGAAAGGACUACAUUGAUAAAGUAGACACGGAGCCAUACCUCCCACCUCCCACUUUCC